Molecule: non-coding RNA, 222 nt
Organism: Chlorobium phaeobacteroides DSM 266
Lineage: Bacteria; Pseudomonadati; Chlorobiota; Chlorobiia; Chlorobiales; Chlorobiaceae
Source: Rfam
AAAGUCCCUUACAGUGAAAGAGUAGCGAUCUACACUGGCCCCAAGUCAUGCGUGGGUGGCCGUGAGGCCAUACGUGAAGCGUUGACAGGGGUGCGUAUAGGCCAGCCAUUGAGCGGCGAAAAAUCAAUCUGGGGGGCCGAUGCUCUCAAACUUGCAGAAGGCAAUAUGAACAGGUGCGAUAAUAAUGCGAGUGCUUGUUUGCCCCCACGUCGUCUGAGACCC